AGGGCACCACCAGGAGUGGAGCCUGCGGCUUAAUUUGACUCAACACGGGAAAACUCACCCGGCCCGGACACUGGAAGGAUUGACAGAUUGAGAGCUCUUUCUUGAUUCAGUGGGUGGUGGUGCAUGGCCGUUCUUAGUUGGUGGAGUGAUUUGUCUGGUUAAUUCCGAUAACGAACGAGACUCUAGCCUACUAAAUAGAUCGUCGGCUUACAAACGCCGGCGAGACUUCUUAGAGGGACAGGCGGUGAUUCAACCGCACGAAACAGAGCAAUAACAGGUCUGUGAUGCCCUUAGAUGUCCGGGGCCGCACGCGCGCUACACUGAAGUGAUCAGCGUGCUUUUUCAACCUACUCUGUCAAGAGUGGGGAACCCAAUGAACCUUCUUCGUGAUUGGGAUAGGGGAUUGUAAUUGUUCCCCUUGAACGAGGAAUUCCCAGUAAGCGCGAGUCAUAAACUCGCGUUGAUUACGUCCCUGCCCUUUGUACACACCGCCCGUCGCUACUACCGAUUGAAUGUUUU
Molecule: ribosomal RNA, 519 nt
Filed under: uncultured eukaryote
Lineage: Eukaryota
Description: SSU rRNA
Rfam family: Eukaryotic small subunit ribosomal RNA
Source: RNAcentral